Molecule: ribosomal RNA, 451 nt
Filed under: uncultured bacterium
Lineage: Bacteria
Description: bacterial SSU rRNA
Rfam family: Bacterial small subunit ribosomal RNA
Source: RNAcentral
GGCCGCGGGAAUUCGAUUCAGGCCUAACACAUGCAAGUCGAACGGUAACAGGUCUUUCGGGAUGCUGACGAGUGGCGAACGGGUGAGUAACACAUCGGAACGUGCCUAGUAGUGUGGGAUAACUACUCGAAAGAGUGGCUAAUACCGCAUGACAUCUAUGGAUAAAAGCAGGGACCUUAGGGCCUUGUGCUACUAGAGCGGCCGAUGGCAGAUUAGGUAGUUGGUGGGAUAAAAGCUUACCAAGCCAACGAUCUGUAGCUGGUCUGAGAGGACGAUCAGCCACACUGGGACUGAGACACGGCCCAGACUCCUACGGGAGGCAGCAGUGGGGAAUUUUGGACAAUGGGGGAAACCCUGAUCCAGCAAGGCCGCGUGCAGGAUGAAGGCCUUCGGGUUGUAAUCUACUGUGUACGGAACGAAAAGCUCUGGGCUAAUACCUCGGAGUCAUGAC